UAGGGAAUCUUCCGCAAUGGGCGAAAGCCUGACGGAGCAACGCCGCGUGAGUGAUGAAGGUCUUCGGAUCGUAAAACUCUGUUAUUAGGGAAGAACAAAUGUGUAAGUAACUAUGCACGUCUUGACGGUACCUAAUCAGAAAGCCACGGCUAACUACGUGCCAGCAGCCGCGGUAAUACGUAGGUGGCAAGCGUUAUCCGGAAUUAUUGGGCGUAAAGCGCGCGUAGGCGGGUUUUUAAGUCUGAUGUGAAAGCCCACGGCUCAACCGUGGAGGGUCAUUGGAAACUGGAAAACUUGAGUGCAGAAGAGGAAAGGGGAAUUCCAUGUGUAGCGGUGAAAUGCGCAGGGAUAUGGAGGAACACCAGUGGCGAAGGCGACUUUAUGGUCUGUAACUGACGCUGAUGUGCGAAAGCGUGGGGAUCAAACAGG
This 429-nucleotide ribosomal RNA is filed under the name Actinomycetes bacterium. RNAcentral's name for it is "Actinobacteria bacterium partial 16S ribosomal RNA". It matches the Rfam family "Bacterial small subunit ribosomal RNA", at positions 355 to 776 of the family's 1533-position model. The record is from RNAcentral. Lineage: Bacteria; Bacillati; Actinomycetota; Actinomycetes.